CUUAUCUAAAGGAAAAAAACAUUAAUUACCAAAAGCUAAACUAAACAAGUAAGUACACAGUCUCAAUCUUUAAGUCUAGACUGAAAACUUACUUGUUUAGUUUAGCUUUUGGUAAUUAAUGUUUUUUCCUUUAGAUAAGGCUGCAGAUUCAGGGGUUCAUGGACAGAGGGAAUUGUGGUAAACUGAGAUGCUGGUGCUGCUAUUCUCCCACUGCACACGGUCACUCAGGUUUGUGGACGGUGGAGUGGGUGGAUGCCAGUGUUUCACGGAGCCUCCAUGUCUAUCUUACCUUCUGGCUCUCUGCCUUUAGUUAGGCUGUUUUAUUCAGUUCUGCCGGAGUCAUUUGCCACACUCUGAUAAUGUUUUAAUAUUCUCAGUUUUGCAUAAAUCCAGUCAAAACUAAUUCCAUCUCUCUGCCUUCCUCCGAGUUACUGACUGCCCACCUGUCUGACCCGAUACCGAUGUUGGACCCUCAGGCUCUCGCGUCUCCUGUCCGGCCAGACUGAUGGAAGUUUCUGAAGUCAGCUCUUCUCCACCACCACCACAGAUCAGCUGCUCAUCGUCCAUCUUAUUCUCCACUACUGAUUACAUCCAAGCCAUUAGUGGCGCUAUUACACUCCUGAAUACAUAAAACCUAUAUGGAUGUAUAAAAGACUUUUUAAAUUUUAAUUUAAAAGCCGUUUGACCAGUGGUAGGAUGGUCCCCCCUCAAAUGUGAGUCUUGGUCCUCCCAAGGUUUCUUCCUCCUCCUGCAGCUCUGAGGGAGUUUUUCCUUGCCUCCGCGCUCACUGGGGGUUCUGUAUUUUCUAUGUUUAAUGUUUUGCCUGAUUCUUUGUCCUGUAAUCAUGUUUCUGUAAAGCUGCUUUGUGCCAACACCUGUUGUAAAAAGCGCUAUACAAAUAAAUUUGAUUUGAUGA
Molecule: long non-coding RNA, 916 nt
Organism: Astyanax mexicanus (Mexican tetra)
Lineage: Eukaryota; Metazoa; Chordata; Actinopteri; Characiformes; Acestrorhamphidae
Exons: 2
Source: RefSeq, a predicted model, not a curated record